Molecule: long non-coding RNA, 422 nt
Organism: Poecilia latipinna (sailfin molly)
Lineage: Eukaryota; Metazoa; Chordata; Actinopteri; Cyprinodontiformes; Poeciliidae
Exons: 3
Source: RefSeq, a predicted model, not a curated record
GACACCGCAUCAAGUCUGUUUGCAGGCUUAGUUAUAAUAAGAGAGGCGGAUGAUGACAUCUUCACACCCAAGCUCUUGGUGUGUAAAAAAGUUGCUCUCUCGACAUAUAGCUCGGCAGAAUAAAUUCAGGUCUGAACAAAGGGAAUCUUGAUGGCGGCAUCUGAAAUCUGACAUUAUUGGACAUUUGAGGAUAGAUUCAAUUAAUUUAACAGAAAAGAUGGGGUGCGCCUGCAGUUCGGACUCAGACAGCGAAUGGAUGGAGAACUUGGACGAAAUUUGCGAACACUGCAACUGUCCAAUUCCUCCCCAGGCCUGCAAUCCAUACACAGAUCAGGUGAUUCCAUAUCCAUCACAGUAUACGCCCCCGAUGUCACCUUUACCAGGUAUAUCUCCUGACUUUGUCUCUUUGCAGCAUAUUAAAG